RNAcentral lists this ribosomal RNA (966 nucleotides) under Triticum aestivum (bread wheat). RNAcentral's name for it is "partial small subunit ribosomal RNA". The record is from RNAcentral. Lineage: Eukaryota; Viridiplantae; Streptophyta; Magnoliopsida; Poales; Poaceae.
AUGCCCACAAGGAAGGGCCCGCACCCAUCAUCCGCUGAUCCUGACCCGGAUGACCAGAUCGAGGAAUCUGCUCCCGGCUCUGACACGGUAGGCAGCGAGGACAUAGGCCACUCCCCUGCCAACAGAGGCUCCGCAGAGCUGGCCAUGGAUUGGUUUGAUGGUGAUUUCGAUGUGGGGGAGGAGGAAGAUGAGGAGGAGCAGGAGGAAGGCGACGGUAAUGGCUGGGAUGAUGAAGAGGGUGAUGAUAGCCAGUCGUCGCAGGGAGACGAUGGCAACAUGGAUGAGUCAUUGAGAAUGCACAUCUUUGUCAAGAAUCCCACCGGCAGGACAAUCUGCCUCAAGGUCCACUCAUCAGACACCCUGUACACCGUCAAGGCAAAGAUCCAAGACCAGUAUCGUCUCGUCUUCGACGGGGUGCAUCUAGAGGACAACUUUACGUUGGCUGAUUAUGGCAUCGAGCAUGAAUCUACGCUUGACCUCCAAGAAAAGAUGCAAAUCUUCGUGACAGAGACGCUAGAAGGUAGGACCAUCACUCUCGAGGUUGAUAGCCUAGACACCAUUGGCAGCCUGAAGGCCAAGAUCCAAUACAUGGAGGGCUUUCCCAAGGGCCAGCAGUGCCUCAUCUUUGCCAACAAGCAGCUGGAGGAUGACAACCGCACCUUGGCCGACCACAACAUCUGGAAGGAGUCCACCAUUCUCCUUGUCCUCCGCCCGUGUAGUACAAUAGGAGGUACGAUGCACAUCUUCGUGAAGACACUGUUAGGAAAGACCCACGCUCUUGAGGUUGGGAGCUUGGACACCAUUGAGAGUGUCAAGGUGAAGAUCUAUGAGAAGGAGGGCACUCGCCCGAUACAGCAGCGCCUCAUCUUUGCUGGCAAGCAGCUGGAGGACGGGCGCACGCUGGCAGACUACAACAUUCAGAGGGAGUCUACCCUUCAUUUGGUGCUCUGCCUUUGUGGUUGCUGA